RNAcentral lists this long non-coding RNA (819 nucleotides) under Homo sapiens (human). Its description in RNAcentral is "HSALNT0197027". Lineage: Eukaryota; Metazoa; Chordata; Mammalia; Primates; Hominidae. The record is from RNAcentral.
CCAGUAUUGAUUUUUAUUGUUCCUGUGAUUGUCAUUGUUGUUGCUUCUUCAUCUUAGAGACAUCAAGGGCAUAGCCAAAAUCAUAGAGAAGCAAUGACCUUCUAAUCCUCAAUGGAGUUAAAUUCCCCCAAAUCCCCAGGGACUGGAACUCAGAUGAAGCUUCAGGAGUUCACAACCUUCUCAGACAUAAAUAAUACAGAUGUCAUCACUAGUGAGGGAGAGCUCAGCUCAGCGGAACCCAACAUAUGAGAUAAUAGGAGACUGCAUCACAGAACACUAGGGCACUGUGUCCACCCACAACAAUGGGUCAGCGACGGACAACACAGUGCAGACUGAGGGGUCAGGGCACGCUUCAUGGAAGAGGGCCAGGCGAGGUGUCCGGCGAGGUGUCACAGCCCUGGCAGUAGAGAGUGGUUCGCUCAUGGGUAGCAAGAAGAAUUUACCAACAACAGCAUAGGCUUGAAAUGGAAUAUCGUAUUAGAUGGAAAGAAACGCUGCAGCCGAGUGCAGAGGGGCAUCUCAGCAAGAGAGGACUAAGUGCACUGCGGUGGAUUGUCCUUCGUGGUAUUGAUGGACCUUUCAGUCUGAUUGAGAUGGGAGGGUUACGCUAGGUUUCUCCGGGUUCUCCAGAUGCAUCUAGAAAGUGACAGGAUUGUGUCAGGAGCUUAAGGGUAAUUUGAACCUGGACUGUAUUAGUUAUGUAGGUCAUGGUAGCUAUUACAUUUGUAGAUGUUUUGGCACCUUGAUGUCAGCAAAGGUUGCAUAAUGGGUUUUGACAUGCAUGCAUUCUGGAGAUGUAUAGAAAUUCCAGUUAUUAUA